RNAcentral lists this transfer RNA (88 nucleotides) under Knoellia locipacati. Its description in RNAcentral is "tRNA-Thr". Lineage: Bacteria; Bacillati; Actinomycetota; Actinomycetes; Micrococcales; Intrasporangiaceae. The record is from RNAcentral.
GGCUCGUCGGCGCGGCCGAGGCGGUCGGCUUCGUGCGCCGGCUCGCGUUCGACCGGCCCGAGGCGGCGUUCGAUGCGGCGUUCAGCUC